This 231-nucleotide long non-coding RNA is filed under the name Coffea arabica (coffee). RNAcentral describes it as "long non-coding RNA (CARA_LNC000705)". Lineage: Eukaryota; Viridiplantae; Streptophyta; Magnoliopsida; Gentianales; Rubiaceae. The record is from RNAcentral.
AUGAACCAUGUGAUUAAUAUCAGAUUAUUUCACUGGAUUUACAUAUGGGUUUAUGCAUGCAUAAUAUCUGUUUAUGCAUGUGGAUUUGUGUACGUUUGGCAACACACCUUUCUGCUGAUAAUUUUCUCUUUAAAAAUCAACGAAUUGCACAAGAUGAGAUAUUUAUGGUUUGUUGGUAACAAGUGAUGCAGGUUUUUGUUCAAAACUGUUCUUGAAGUUUUGGGUCAAACG